Molecule: long non-coding RNA, 436 nt
Filed under: Ictidomys tridecemlineatus (thirteen-lined ground squirrel)
Lineage: Eukaryota; Metazoa; Chordata; Mammalia; Rodentia; Sciuridae
Description: lncRNA (ENSSTOG00000033457.1)
Source: RNAcentral
CGGGGUUACAGUUCUGCUUUAUAAUAGACUCAGCGAGGAAUCCAAAGCGGACCUCUGUGGCGUGAUCUCACUAAGUUUUGUUCCAAACACUGUUUGUAUUUACCCGGAAUCGGUCAGGUUGGAGGUCCGCAAAAGUGUCGGAGGCCAGCUCAAUCUGAAUUAUUGGAAGGAGGGAAACCUGGGGCUGUUGCCUGCUUUCGCCUUUUCAUAUUCGUUGUCCCUGCUCCAGCGCUAGGUGGCGCCAGUGCACACCCGCUGUAGCGCUCCAGCUUUAACCACGCAAACGAGGAAAAAUAUCUCACCCAGAGGAUGCGAAAACUUACAGAGGAAAGAAACCAGGAUGCGUGAAUGAAAUGGAGCUUAACAACCCUGCUAGUCAGAACCAUUCCUAUCUCUGGUCUGUUACAAGAGUAAAAAGUCUCUAUUUCCUUUAAAU